AGUGGCUAUCUAAUUCGACCCCUGUGAGGGAGGUGGCUCCAUGAUUCACAUUGUGGAUCAUGUUGAUUUAGAUGCUUGGAGUGUGCCUGAGGUCCUUAGACCACUUUAUGAAUCCCCGAAGAUUCUUGCACAGAAAACAACUAUUGCUGCACUGCGUCACAUUAGGCAAAUUGUGCAUGAAUCGAGUGGGGAAAUGCCCUAUGGAGGGGGCUGACAGCCAGCAGUUUUGAGAACAUUUAGCCAGAGGCUUAGCAGGGGUUUCAAUGAUGC
This is a long non-coding RNA of Zea mays, 270 nucleotides long. RefSeq lists it as uncharacterized. The transcript has 4 exons. The record is from RefSeq and is a predicted model, not a curated record. Lineage: Eukaryota; Viridiplantae; Streptophyta; Magnoliopsida; Poales; Poaceae.